CCUACGGGGGGCUGCAGUCGAGAAUAUUCCUCAAUGGGCGAAAGCCUGAAGGAGCGACGCCGCGUGUAUGAAGAAGCCUUUCGGGGUGUAAAGUACUUUUAUUAGAGAUGAAACAAUGACCGUAUCUAAUGAAUAAGGGGCUGCUAACCUCGUGCCAGCAGCAGCGGUAAUACGAGGGCCCCAAGCAUUAUCCGGAUUUAUUGGGCGUAAAGCGUCCGUAGGCGGUUUGUCGCAUCUCCUGUUAAAUCCUCUGGCUUAACCAGGGGGCUGCGGGAGAGAUGGAUAAACUAGAGACUGGAAGAGGCAAGCGGAAUUGCUGGUGUAGGGGUUAAAUCCGUUAAUAUCAGCAGGAACACUCAAUGCGAAAGCAACUUGCUGGGACAGUUCUGACGUUCAUGGACGAAAGCGUGGGGAGCGAAUGGGAUUAGAUACCCCGGUAGUC
RNAcentral lists this ribosomal RNA (442 nucleotides) under uncultured bacterium. RNAcentral describes it as "bacterial SSU rRNA". It matches the Rfam family "Bacterial small subunit ribosomal RNA", at positions 338 to 795 of the family's 1533-position model. The record is from RNAcentral.